This 468-nucleotide ribosomal RNA is filed under the name uncultured bacterium. Its description in RNAcentral is "partial 16S ribosomal RNA". It matches the Rfam family "Bacterial small subunit ribosomal RNA", at positions 28 to 507 of the family's 1533-position model. The record is from RNAcentral.
GACGAACGCUGGCGGCGUGCUUAACACAUGCAAGUCGAACGGAAAGGCCCUGCUUUUGUGGGGUGCUCGAGUGGCGAACGGGUGAGUAACACGUGAGUAACCUGCCCUUGACUUUGGGAUAACUUCAGGAAACUGCGGCUAAUACCGGAUAGGAGCUCCUGCUGCAUGGUGGGGGUUGGAAAGUUUCGGCGGUUGGGGAUGGACUCGCGGCUUAUCAGCUUGUUGGUGGGGUAGUGGCUUACCAAGGCUUUGACGGGUAGCCGGCCUGAGAGGGUGACCGGCCACAUUGGGACUGAGAUACGGCCCAGACUCCUACGGGAGGCAGCAGUGGGGAAUAUUGCACAAUGGGCGGAAGCCUGAUGCAGCAACGCCGCGUGCGGGAUGACGGCCUUCGGGUUGUAAACCGCUUUCGCCUGUGACGAAGAGUGAGUGACGGUAAUGGGUAAAGAAGCACCGGCUAACUACGUG